GGAGUGGUAGCAAAGAGGCUAUGCAGCAGUCUGCAAAACAAUCUAAAUAGAUAAGAAUUAGCAGUCAACUGUCCCACAAGGGUUCAACUCCCUUCCGCUCCU
Molecule: transfer RNA, 102 nt
Filed under: Candidatus Heimdallarchaeota archaeon LC_3
Lineage: Archaea; Promethearchaeati; Candidatus Heimdallarchaeota
Description: tRNA-Cys
Rfam family: tRNA
About the family: Transfer RNA (tRNA) molecules are approximately 80 nucleotides in length. Their secondary structure includes four short double-helical elements and three loops (D, anti-codon, and T loops).
Source: RNAcentral